AAGUCGUAACAAGGUUUGGAAACAACAAGCUCUGUAAGAAUAAUGAUUCUUCUGUAGUGUACGCUUGCUGAAGCCUUUGCAGCCACGCAAGUGGUAGAUAUAGCAACGACUAUAAAUAAUUAUUAUAUCGCUAUGCAAGUCAGUAGUUAAAUGAAGCUCUGGCGACACUUUCGAACUGACGGGGGACACCCUAAAGCCUGUUGCACCAACUUGGGUAGGAAACUAGCCCAAGGGCCCAUGCUAAUUACAUGGGAGACGGUAAAAGACAAUAUGGAUAAUUCUUUCACUUUUAAUGUUAGAAAUUAUGGGUAAUCCGCAGCGAAGCCUCUAAGUUCAUUAGAAUAUGAGGAACGUUCACAGACUAAGUGGAAGUGGGUGAAGUAUUUGAACUUUGCUUAAGAUAUAGUCGGGCUCUUUAAGAAAUUAGGGAGAUUAAAAGUAUACUCUAAAAACCGUUCCGUAGGUGAACCUGCGGAAGGAUCAUUACAGUGAAAUGCUGUAGACUUGGUGUCUUUGGAUAAAACACUGAUGUAUUCUAAGGCUACGGCUUUAUUAUGCUGAGGUGGCCUGCAAAGGAAUCCAGCACCGCCCAACCUUGUCAAUAUAUUACAACGUUACCUCGGCAGGUUUGCCUGCCGGUGGACACUAAAAACCUUUUAAAUUUACGCUUUAUUUAGUGAGUUGUCUGAUAAUAAAUUUAAUAAAUUUAAAA
RNAcentral lists this non-coding RNA (712 nucleotides) under plant metagenome. RNAcentral describes it as "partial contains small subunit ribosomal RNA and internal transcribed spacer 1". The stretch from base 103 to 430 matches the Rfam family "Group I catalytic intron". The record is from RNAcentral.